UCGAUUCUCUCGCUCUCGCUCCCGACCUCCCAUCAACCCACCGACGGAUCCCGCACUUUAGCCCCCCGUUUCUUCUCCUUAAUCUCCCCCAAUUCGUAACUGAGGCAAAAAUCUAGGGCGGGGUCCUCCGCCCGUGCUCUCCCGUCGCCCGCGUAUCUGGAUGGGGGGGAGCUCGGGUCCAGCGCCGCCAUCACCCAAAAGUCGAGCCCCGUCGCGAUUCAGGCACAGUCGCGGUUCGAUUUCCGGCGGCCAUGGAUGGGGAUGGGGACAGGAAGACCUCGCAUGCCGGUAGAGGCGAGAGGCUGGGUGUGGGGAGCGAUCGGACCUCACGAUUUCCCUACAGCUUCAACACGAUUCCUCUCCCUAGCGCCGCCGCCCGCAGGCUGCUCAUAUCUUAUCCUCCUGCACCCCCGCAUGGCCCUACUGCGCUCAUAUGGAGUAGAUCCGAUUUGUUCCACUCCUCUUCCUCCCACUAGGACCAACAACCAUUGACGGGAAUGGAAUGUCCUUGGGUGCACGGUUAGCAGCUCGUUCAUCACCUCUUUCUUGCUCAAUUUUCGGCAGGACUAGAACAUCUAACGUCACCUUCCAACAAAAACUCACGCCUGGGUUUGAUUUCUUCAAAAGGUGUGCCCUAGCUCUAGAGUACCUGCCACUAAUCUCACGGUCACACAACCUAAACGAGAACUUGGAAUUACCUCCUUUGCCUUUCCCCGUGUUCUCAAUCUUCCUCAUAUACCUCCACAGUGGCUUCUUCUCAUCAUCAUCUGCUGAAAUCACUCGAGCUGCAGCACAUUCAUUGGAGUUGCGCUGCUGCUGUGCUCGAGCUCCCAAUCGAAGCAGAGAGGAUUGAAGAAGGUGCAUACUUGGAGGAAGAAAGAAGACAGGAAAAGGGGAGAGAAGAUCACAAGACUAGGAAAAGACUCACUGUGAGAGGAAAAAGGACACCGGCAGUAGCGGCGGCAACGGCAAGACGAGGAGGUAGAGCUGGCUGAGUGGAGGUGGUGUGCCGAGGAGAGGAGGCUGCGCCGGUCACCGGUGAGGUGGCGAGGAGGUGGUGCCGGCCGCUGCUUGCCUUCGUGUGAGAGUGAGAGUCAGGGAAGAGUGGUGGCGGCUGUGGGAUUUGCUUGCCUUUGUGUGAGAGUGGGAGUCAGGGAAGAGUGGUGGCGGCUGUGGGAUUUGGGGAAUGAGAGGGUGCCGGGAGGGAUUUGGGACUUUGAGAGUUUGGGUAGGGUACAGUAUCCCUCCCUCAGGUAUCCCAUGUAUCCCCUCAGGUUUUGCAUUUGACAAUGGAUAAACAGAUCCAGCGAUACCGUAUAAGGCAUACACUGAUUAUGCGCUGGAUAUGGGCUUAAUCACACAAUCACAAUAUAACAAGAUGGGUUAUCUCUGUGGAGUGAUGAUGGUAGAAUAGGUGGGGUGGUAAAUUUAGGUAAUUCUGAUGGGAUGGUUGGAGCUGUGCUAAUCUCUGCUAUUGCUGAGAAAAUAUCAAUGAUGGCAUUGGAAUAUUCUUAAGUGAUAUCUUAUUAAGGUGCUCUCCAGGGAACAUGUUGCCUUGGUUUGACCUUUCAUUUUGCAUUGGAUUGUCUACAGACAGGUUAGGACCACAAAAAGGCAUGCCUCCUCCAUAUGGUAAACCAUGAAGUAAUUCAUACGGAGAACCUAGCAGUGGAAAUGUGAAGUAUACUUCUGCUCCCAUAUCAUUACUCACUGAGCAUGCUGCUGGAAAAAUAUUUCCAUUGCUUUUGGACUAUUAUGUAACUGUUUCACCAAUCCUAGGACAUUUUGAAGAUGUACUGAUGUUUCAUGAGGCACUGUAGAACCAUGGUUUUGCUGGGUCCUGUCACCAACCAGAAGGGAGAGCUCAAAAAAGUUUAGUGUUCAUAUGAGUAUGGUAGUGGUACUAAUGCUGGGUCUACAAUCUGGUCACAAGGAUCCAGUUCUGCAGCCACGCCUUUCAUCAAAAAAUUCCUGAAUUUCUUAAGCACGAUUGAGCUUCAUACACCAUGAGUUUCCUUUGGAGUUCGACCCUUGGGAGCUUCUCUAAAAGCAUGUGCAAUCUAUUUAUAUAAAUAAUGAGUGGCGGAGUCAGAAACCGAAGAAGAAGGGUGCUAAGAUAAGCCUAAUGGUGUUAUGCUUGUAGACUUUCAUACUUAUAAGCUAGAUAGUAAAUAACUUCUCCUUCUAAACAUCCUAACUAGGCCGGUGCUACAGCGCCGGUAGCACCGGCCCUGGAUAUGUGGUUCAACCAGCGACUCAGUGGUUGAGUCAGUGAACUACUGAAUGAGCACGUCCAGUUCUUUUUCAUAUACUCCCUCUGUCCUAAAAAGGAUGUCCCAAAAUUUUCAAAAUAUGAAUGUAUCUCUAGACAUGCUUUAGUGUCUAGAUACAUCCAAAUUUAGACAAAUUUUAGACAUCCUUUUCAGGACGGAGGAAGUAUGAUAUAUCUACUAUUGGCCUAUUUUUUCAGUGAUUUCAUGUAGCAAGCUUAUAUGUAGAAAGGAUGACUAUAUCUUUAUAUGACAAUGCUUAAGCGGCUUCUAUUUGGUGCAACUUUGUUUCUGUGGUUACUUACGUAGUUUCAGUCAGUAUGACUGUUCCAAAUGAUCUAUCUUUUCCUUAAGUAGGGACACGAGUUGACACUGCAUUCUGACCAGGUUGUAUCUACCUUUUUUCUUGUAUCACGGUCAACAAUUUAUCAUUUUGCAUAGGCUGCAAAUCUUUGUGAUAUGUUACCAUCAUCAGAGAAAUCUUUUGUCAAAUUGCUUUGUGAUAUACCAUAUUUAUCUGAAGGUGCAUUAAAGCUGCUAGAGAGUUUAUGUUGUUCUGAAAAUAAUGAGAAGCAGGAUAAGAAUAUUCAGAGUGGUGAUAGAGUACCUCAAGGUCUAAGUGCUGUCUGGAACCUUAUCAUGUGAACUUUCAACUUGGAUAGAUAUUGCAAGAUUGUUUUGCAGGUGCUGCACAGAUACCAUGAUGUAUCUCUGAUACUAUUGGUCUGAUUUGUUGUAAACUGACAAUAGCAUGCCUGGGACAUCUGCCAGUGGCAACGUGAGAGUUAUCUGUUUUGACUUCUGAUUUGGUGGUAGAGUGCAAAUGGAAGCAAACUCGUCAUGAAUUACAGUUUUAUUUUAUUUCCGCAUUCUUAGUAGAAUUGUGAAUCACUAAAUCAAUCACCUUCUUCUCUUGAGGGUGUUUCCAUACAUAAAAUACAAGCAGUGAUUUGUCAUUUCCAUUUCCCAUUCACUUACAUGAGCUUUAGAUUGAACUCUGAAGAUGUAAUUACAAUUUUCACAUUCUUGGUAGAAUUGUGAAGCACUAAAUCAGUUACCUUCUUCUUUUGAGGGUGAUUCAAUAUA
Long non-coding RNA from Brachypodium distachyon (stiff brome), 3356 nucleotides. RefSeq lists it as uncharacterized. Lineage: Eukaryota; Viridiplantae; Streptophyta; Magnoliopsida; Poales; Poaceae. The record is from RefSeq and is a predicted model, not a curated record. The transcript is spliced from 5 exons.